AGUGAACGCUGGCGGUAGGCCUAACACAUGCAAGUCGAACGGCAGCACAGUAAGAGCUUGCUCUUACGGGUGGCGAGUGGCGGACGGGUGAGGAAUACAUCGGAAUCUACUUUUUCGUGGGGGAUAACGUAGGGAAACUUACGCUAAUACCGCAUACGACCUACGGGUGAAAGCAGGGGAUCUUCGGACCUUUCGCGAUUGAAUGAGCCGAUGUCGGAUUAGCUAGUUGGCGGGGUAAAGGCCCACCAAGGCGACGAUCCGUAGCUGGUCUGAGAGGAUGAUCAGCCACACUGGCACUGAGAAACGGUCCAGACUCCUGCGGGAGGCCGCAGUGGGGAAUAUUGGACAAUGGAGGCAAGCCUGAUCCAGCCAUACCGCGUGGGUGAAGAAGGACCUAGGGUUGUAAAGCCCUUUUGUUGGGAGGGAAAAGCAGCAGGUUAAUCCCCCGCUGUUCUGACGGUACCCAAAGAAUAAGCACCGGCUAACUUCGUG
Molecule: ribosomal RNA, 492 nt
Filed under: uncultured bacterium
Lineage: Bacteria
Description: partial 16S ribosomal RNA
Rfam family: Bacterial small subunit ribosomal RNA
Source: RNAcentral